Myotis davidii is the source of this 1455-nucleotide long non-coding RNA. RefSeq lists it as uncharacterized. The record is from RefSeq and is a predicted model, not a curated record. Lineage: Eukaryota; Metazoa; Chordata; Mammalia; Chiroptera; Vespertilionidae. The transcript is spliced from 2 exons.
AGACGAACCCUGUUAAAGCCGAGCAUUUACCGGCUUACAUUUGUGUCAAGCCAGUUUUCUCUCAACAGAAGAAAAGUCAAUACUGUCUUUUUAUUUUUUUUUUUUUGAGGAACAAGUUAUAAGUAAAACCUGUGGGUGAUGUAGGAGAUAUUUUGAGUUGAGUGGAAGGAUGGGUUAGAUAGUCUCUACAGCCCAUUCUCAGUUCCUAGAUUUGGGUUCCUGGAAAUCAUGUCCUAAAAUUUGCAGAGUGUAACUCAUACAUUCAGGAUUGACACAGUCUCAGCAGGAGGAAAUGUCGGCUGCGGUUAGCAUGAUGAAGUAACUGGGACAAAUGUCAAACCCUGUGACAAUGCCCCAGACCCAGUCGCCGGCUCUGCAGCAGGCCAGCGGCCUGGGCUGUCUCCCAGCACCCUUCCUGAGCCGUCCUCCGAGGGUCACGGUAGAAGCGUCUAGACCACAUCAAAGGAAUUGAUGUCUCUGGUUUUACUCUCCACUCAAUAUUUCUGAAUUGUUCUGCUCAGACUUUAAGAGGAGCACUGACAUAUCUCAAUAUAAAAGGGUCUGAAAAUUCAAGAUUUGACGUCUUGGGGAAGCUUAGCUUAGAAAAAGAGGAACCUGGGUGAGAUGAGAGGUGUCUCCAGGUGCUGGGAGGAUCCCAAAGAUGAGAAUAGCCCCUACCGAGACCGUACUCCUGCACUGGGCUCUGUUACUCCCACCCGGCCCCGGUAAUACUCCAGACAGUCCCCGGUGAGUCCCCGGGGCUCACAGAAGCAACACUCACUGUGACACCUUCUGGAGGCAUCCGCAGGGAGGUAGACUUGCACUUGACGUGAGAAAGAACUGCUGUCAGAAUUGUCCCCUGGGACAGCAUGUCUUGCAGGCUAUGCUUGGUUGUCAAUGCUAGUCGUGAGCUCGUACAUGGAUUUACAAUCCAUGAAUAAGUUUGAAAAACUCUGAUCUAAAGAACUUUGAAUUUUUAGUUCUCAGCUGUUUGCUCACACUAGCACCCAUCUUUGUUUAUUUUUCUGAGAGAGCCUUUCUGUAACGAUGCCAGCGAAGAUUUGAACUUGUCCGAGCGGGUUAACGAACCCUGUUCUUCAUCUGAGCAUUUGCUUUUCCUGUUGGCCUCCCUGAGCCUGAGAUACAUGCAGAGGAGUAACCUUGGGCCUGUCCGGCCUAAGUGACCCCGAGAAAUGGCGUAGGAAGCGGAGCCUGGCAUUGACACGCGUCCUGGGUCAGUCCUUUCCCUGCACCGCGUGUCUCUGCUGCUCCGGAGCGAGCCGUUGAAGGGCUCAGGCAGUGUGGGGGAAGAUGACAGAGUUGGUUUUCUAAAAACAGUAUGACAAAAAGAAUUAAAAGCAGUGGGACCUUUGAUUGGACUUCUGUACUGUCUUUGGCAGUGGGCUUUUUAUUUUUUUCCAGAAGUACCUUUAAUGUUAUGGCUGCAUUAGUUUA